GUCUUCGUGGUGCAAUGGUCAGCCCACUCGACGCGUAAUCGAGAGGUCCGAGGUUCGAAUCCCCGGCUAGAACA
This 74-nucleotide transfer RNA is filed under the name Stegodyphus mimosarum. It matches the Rfam family "tRNA". Rfam says of the family: Transfer RNA (tRNA) molecules are approximately 80 nucleotides in length. Their secondary structure includes four short double-helical elements and three loops (D, anti-codon, and T loops). The record is from Rfam by way of RNAcentral. Lineage: Eukaryota; Metazoa; Arthropoda; Arachnida; Araneae; Eresidae.